Molecule: long non-coding RNA, 266 nt
Filed under: Ananas comosus (pineapple)
Lineage: Eukaryota; Viridiplantae; Streptophyta; Magnoliopsida; Poales; Bromeliaceae
Description: long non-coding RNA (ACOM_LNC001735)
Source: RNAcentral
CUACAGAGGUAGUUGGAUAUUACCAUGUACAUACAGUGAUGUUUGUUUUAGUUUUUGUUCUGUGAGAGGCUGGUGGUUUUUGAAGCUUGUAUGUACAAUGGGCCGUUUAUGUAUUUAUAUGAGUUUUAGAUUUAGUAGCUCUUUACCUCUUAUUGUAGCUAUGUCUAUUUAUAGGUUUUGCUAUCGUUUCGUAUACACGAAAAAUUCCUAUGUAUAUAGCGGGUCUGUUGGCGUGUCCGGAGAAACGUGGUAAUACGAGGCGUGAC